GUGUCGGGGUGUCGGGUUGUCAUGUAAGGGUGUCAGCAUGUCGUGUUAGGGUGUCGUGGUGUCAUUUUCUUCGUCUUCCUAUUCUUUUUUUCCUCUUCUUCCUUAUCUUCUUAUUCAUAUUCUUCCUCAUCUUCCGUUUCUUCUUCUGAUUCCUCUUCUUCCUUUUCUUCCUUUUCUUCUUCUUCUUCUUCUUCUUCUUCUCUUUCUUCUUCUUCUUCUUCUUCUUCUUCUUCUUCUU
Molecule: long non-coding RNA, 238 nt
Filed under: Hordeum vulgare
Lineage: Eukaryota; Viridiplantae; Streptophyta; Magnoliopsida; Poales; Poaceae
Description: long non-coding RNA (HVUL_LNC015799)
Source: RNAcentral